This 301-nucleotide ribosomal RNA is filed under the name uncultured bacterium. RNAcentral's name for it is "partial 16S ribosomal RNA". It matches the Rfam family "Bacterial small subunit ribosomal RNA", at positions 509 to 809 of the family's 1533-position model. The record is from RNAcentral.
CAGUCGCCGCGGUAAUACGUAGGGUGCAAGCGUUAAUCGGAAUUACUGGGCGUAAAGCGUGCGCAGGCGGUUAUAUAAGACAGAUGUGAAAUCCCCGGGCUCAACCUGGGAACUGCAUUUGUGACUGUAUAGCUAGAGUACGGCAGAGGGGGAUGGAAUUCCGCGUGUAGCAGUGAAAUGCGUAGAUAUGCGGAGGAACACCGAUGGCGAAGGCAAUCCCCUGGGCCUGUACUGACGCUCAUGCACGAAAGCGUGGGGAGCAAACAGGAUUAGAUACCCGUGUAGUCCCUGUCUCUUAUAU